UUUUUCUUUUGCAGCAUUUUCAAGUACAAAGUUCUUUAUGAAAAUCGGUUAUCACGCAACACAUAUAAAGACGAUUGCUGUUGAAUUAAAAAGUAAAUGGGAAAGAUGUUAUCGAGCUCUGAAGUCGUUGAAGAUUCCGUACACUGUACCGUCGGAAAGCCAUGUGGCUCAUGGCGCCUCGUUUCUUCUCAUCUCCCUCGCAUUAAGAGUCCAACAAGAUGCCAAAAAGGCUACACGUUUCUAACAAUUACGUCAAGCUUGAUACGCUGAUGCAUCCAACAUUGUUUGUAAAUCAUCAUGAAAGAUGACGCCAGGAAUGGCGCACGUUAGACAGCGCUAUAAAUUUAUUUAAUAAAUGGCGCUACUGGCAUCAAUUUCAGAUACUUUCUACUUAUUUUUAAAAUGCAGUAAAUGUUACUUUCACAAGUCCCAUUGCAAAAAAUAAUAGGCUACCAUUUCCUAAAAUCGAGGGACGUAGAUUUUGGAUUUUACGGCAGCUGAACGUGACUAGAAGGAGCGUUACGGCCAAUUUAAUAGCUUUCACGCGAGAAUCGACACUACGCGGCUAAAAAAGAAUUCUAUCUUAAAAGGGAUAACUGUAUGAUGGUAAUCACGUCGACAGAGGAUUUAAAAAAAAAAAACUUCAACAAAGUUGCUGUAAUGAAUACACUUUUAAACGAUCUACCAUAAUACUCUGGACAGGGCCGUAUAUUAACCCAACGCUAAUUACGCGAUGCUCAUGCAUCUUUCGAUGUCUCGACCCUUCGUUGCUCUUCCCGAGAGAACGCGGGAGAUUCAACAAGUUUCGUCAUUAUCCAAUGAAUGGAACUCCUUUCGCGUCUUCUGCCAACAUCCUGGACACGUUGUCGUCCGUUGUCCGAGCCGAUGAGAAUCGAUGUGACAGUCCAAUCGACGGGCUCACGGGUCACAGUUUCUUCUCGCGGGACAUAAAAGGGAGACGGCCGCGUAUUGGUAAUCGUAAGCGACUUCACCUUCCAUCAGCAGGGGGCAACAAGCCUGCCAGACGACGACGCGAACACGACCACGAUGACAACGGCUGAAGAAUGUAGGGGGAAAACAAAUUUCUGCGCGUUGAAACUUUAUACUCGUAAAUAACGAUAAGCGAUACAUCUUGAAACGGGGAAGAAUUGAUUCUAUCAGAUACGCAGGAAUUUUUUACUUGCUUGCUGUAGAAGAUUGUAUAAUCUGUACUUCAGUGCUAUUUUCAUUGCAAACUUUUGAAUUGUUAUUUAUCUGAUAUAAGAGUACCAAUCGAAAUGGAUGGACACUAGGCAACUAUGAAAUUUUGUUAUCGCUAUAUAACCUGUUAUGACUUAUUAAUUAUUGUUUCAUAUGUUUUCAGAAGCAACUAUCUUUCUGUUCCUAGAAAUGGAUACUAUGACUUUUUUUAAGGUGAGCGGAAAUAUUGCUAUAACGGGCUGGUUCUUGGGGCUUUGCAGCACCAUAUCGAGAUGACCUUUUCGAAUCUGGUUUUUCCGGGUACCAGCCAUGUCAGAUGGGUGGAAAUGAUACAUAGAUAUCUAAGGAACCUGUGAAUGAGAAACUUAAUGCAACUUGCGACUAAAUUGUUGAACGCGAUAAGUUAUUCGAGACAAAUAUGUGUCGCGCCUAACAUAGACAAAUUUCUCUAUACGGGUAUGCUCUCACGGCAUAUGUUUAUUAUUGGUCAGUGCAACACGAUGCCGUGCCCAUUUUCACUGCCCAUGUUCCGCCGUACGUUAAUUAGGAAAAAAAAGAGGAAUUACUAUUCGUUUGUGAAUAAAGGUAGACGUAAAAAUGUUUUAGGGAUUUUUAUCCGCUGAGGUUGACCUGCCUGGAAUCUGGUACAAUUACGUCCGUGUUUUAAUCGCUUUCGAAUACGUAUAUGUCUAUUUCCUG
Long non-coding RNA from Bombus impatiens (common eastern bumble bee), 1899 nucleotides. RefSeq lists it as uncharacterized. The transcript is spliced from 5 exons. NCBI's taxonomy places the organism in Eukaryota, Metazoa, Arthropoda, Insecta, Hymenoptera, Apidae. The record is from RefSeq and is a predicted model, not a curated record.